Molecule: non-coding RNA, 320 nt
Organism: Podarcis muralis (Common wall lizard)
Lineage: Eukaryota; Metazoa; Chordata; Lepidosauria; Squamata; Lacertidae
Source: RefSeq, a predicted model, not a curated record
AGGGCGGGGGGGGUAGAGGCAAUGUUGGAGGGGUGGGGUCUCCAUGCACACCCCGGAAGAGAAGGAGGCCUGCAAAGGAGGAGGGGAAAGAGCUGUUCCCUGAAUUGAAGUGCAUAGUGGCAACAGCUGAGAGAGUCCCAGAAGUGGCCCAGUUUACGCCUCCUCCUCCUCCUCUGUCCUUUCCAGUGCCAACGCAAUGGCCUCCGAGCCCCCCUCUGAACGGCCUCUUCUUACAGGUGGAGUGGAAAGAGGAGCCAGGCAGCUUCCUCAGGCCCUCUUGACCUUUGAGGAGGUGGCUGUGUUUUUCACGGAGGAGGAGU